GGCCUCUACCGAGGCCUAAGACGUAAAGCCCGGCCCAAGUGAACCGACUCACCAGCAACCAGCCAGGUCAGCCUUCAAACUAGGGUUUUGCCCUCCCGCUCCGAGAAAGCAAACAGCUCGAGCUCCUCCGAUUCUGUCCGCCUCCGUUCCUCCGCAUCUUCCCGGCCGCCGCCAAGAUGAAGCUCGUCAGGUUCUUGAUGAAGCUGAACAACGAGACGGUCACCAUCGAGCUCAAGAACGGCACUACCGUCCACGGCACCAUCACCGGUGUUGACAUAAGCAUGAAUACUCAUCUGAAGACCGUAAAGCUCACAAUGAAAGGGAAGAAUCCUGUAACCCUUGAUCACAUCAGCGUGAGAGGAAACAACAUUCGGUACUACAUCCUCCCUGAUAGCUUAAACCUGGAAACGUUGCUGGUUGAGGAUACUCCCAGGGUCAAGUCUAAGAAGCCAACUACAGGGAAGCCUAUGGGUCGGGGUCGUGGACGCGGCCGUGGGCGUGGCCGGGGCCGGGGGCGCUGAGCUUUAUUGUUCCCUGCUUUGGAAGCUCGUGCAGUGCAAGUCCCUACAGCGUAACCUGCUUCCUCUGCGAGCUAUGUCGAAGAAUGUUUCUGUUCUGUUAGAAGAUGUCAAUCUAAGCCUCCAGACUUUUGAAAUGCUAAGUGGCAUCAUGUGCUGUUACUUGUUACCCUGGAAUUCUUGCCCUUGUGCUUUUGCGUAGCAGUAAGUUGUGUUUGAGUAGAAGCUGACCCUUUUUCUUUUGUGGCAAUGCUUGAAAUUAAACUGGGAUGGGGGCACUGGUAUUGCAGAUUACAUAUUGACAUAUUCAUCUGAAACAUGCACCCGUCUACAAUUCUUGCCUGUA
RNA transcript from Triticum aestivum (bread wheat), 864 nucleotides. It is a transcript of the gene named small nuclear ribonucleoprotein SmD1a, with no coding region annotated. The transcript is spliced from 5 exons. NCBI's taxonomy places the organism in Eukaryota, Viridiplantae, Streptophyta, Magnoliopsida, Poales, Poaceae. The record is from RefSeq and is a predicted model, not a curated record.